UUAGAGAAUUUCAUUUAUAUUGUCUCUUCCAAAUAAUGCCAUCAUACGAAAUAGAUUGCACCUUCAAAUAAAUCAUCUUGGCUAAGACUUAGAACUCCAACAUUUCUUCGAAACCUCGACUUCUAUCUACUCAUGUUGAUAUCUUCUAAAUUGAGCGUCCAAACAUGUUUUGGGAGGAAAAAACUCAAUUUGUCAACUUGACGAUAUUAUACAUAUAUAUAGUUUUUUUAAAUGUCCAAUUCCAUUUUGUAACUAUGUCCCCAUUAUUCAAUGUACAACAAAACAAAUCAUUGCUUUUAGAUGUGGCCACUAACCACUUUCACUAACAAUCAAAGAUUAAUUUUUGGUGCUAAAGUGCUGCGUAAGCACCCUUCCAUUAUC
This 381-nucleotide small RNA is filed under the name Arabidopsis thaliana (thale cress). Its description in RNAcentral is "putative long intergenic non-coding RNA". Lineage: Eukaryota; Viridiplantae; Streptophyta; Magnoliopsida; Brassicales; Brassicaceae. The record is from RNAcentral.